RNAcentral lists this ribosomal RNA (497 nucleotides) under uncultured bacterium. RNAcentral describes it as "partial 16S ribosomal RNA". It matches the Rfam family "Bacterial small subunit ribosomal RNA", at positions 28 to 507 of the family's 1533-position model. The record is from RNAcentral.
GAUGAACGCUGGCGGCGUGCCUAAUACAUGCAAGUCGAGCGAACAGACCAGGAGCUUGCUCCUCUGACGUUAGCGGCGGACGGGUGAGUCACACGUGGAUAACCUAACUAUCAGACUGGGAUACCUUCGGGAAACCGGAGCUACUACCGGAUAAUAUAUUGAACCGCAUGGUUCCAUAGUGAAAGACGGUUUUGCUGUCGCUUAUAGAUGUCUCCGGGCAGCAUUCGCUAGUUGGUAAGGUAACUGCUUACCAAGGCGACGAUGCGUAGCCGACCCGAACGGGUGAUCGGCCAGCUGGGAAGUGAGGAAGGUUCGAGACUCCUACGGUAGGCAGCAGUAGAGAAUCUUCCGCAAUGGGCGAAAGCCUGACGUAGCAACGCCGCGUGAGUGAUGAAGGUCUUCUGAUCGGAAAGCGCUGUUAUUAGGGAAGAACAAAUGUGUAAGUAACUAUGCUCGUCUUGACGGUACCGGAUCAGAAAGCCACGGCUAACUACGUG